Molecule: ribosomal RNA, 253 nt
Filed under: uncultured bacterium
Lineage: Bacteria
Description: partial 16S ribosomal RNA
Rfam family: Bacterial small subunit ribosomal RNA
Source: RNAcentral
UACGGAGGGUGCAAGCGUUAUCCGGAUUCACUGGGUUUAAAGGGUGCGUAGGUGGGCAGGUAAGUCAGUGGUGAAAUCUCCGGGCUUAACCCGGAAACUGCCAUUGAUACUAUCUGUCUUGAAUACCGUGGAGGUGAGCGGAAUAUGUCAUGUAGCGGUGAAAUGCUUAGAUAUGACAUAGAACACCAAUUGCGAAGGCAGCUCACUACGCGAAUAUUGACACUGAGGCACGAAAGCGUGGGGAUCAAACGGG